RNAcentral lists this ribosomal RNA (502 nucleotides) under uncultured bacterium. RNAcentral's name for it is "bacterial SSU rRNA". It matches the Rfam family "Bacterial small subunit ribosomal RNA", at positions 1008 to 1509 of the family's 1533-position model. The record is from RNAcentral.
GCUUUAGUGCCUUCGGGAACUCUGAGACAGGUGCUGCAUGGCUGUCGUCAGCUCGUGUUGUGAAAUGUUGGGUUAAGUCCCGCAACGAGCGCAACCCUUAUCCUUUGUUGCCAGCACGUAAUGGUGGGAACUCAAAGGAGACUGCCGGUGAUAAACCGGAGGAAGGUGGGGAUGACGUCAAGUCAUCAUGGCCCUUACGAGUAGGGCUACACACGUGCUACAAUGGCGCAUACAGAGAGAAGCGACCUCGCGAGAGCAAGCGGACCUCAUAAAGUGCGUCGUAGUCCGGAUUGGAGUCUGCAACUCGACUCCAUGAAGUCGGAAUCGCUAGUAAUCGUAAAUCAGAAUGUUACGGUGAAUACGUUCCCGGGCCUUGUACACACCGCCCGUCACACCAUGGGAGUGGGUUGCAAAAGAAGUAGAUAGCUUAACCUUCGGGAGGGCGUUUACCACUUUGUGAUUCAUGACUGGGGUGAAGUCGUAACAAGGUAAGCGUAGUGCU